This 72-nucleotide transfer RNA is filed under the name Marmota marmota marmota (Alpine marmot). It matches the Rfam family "tRNA". Rfam says of the family: Transfer RNA (tRNA) molecules are approximately 80 nucleotides in length. Their secondary structure includes four short double-helical elements and three loops (D, anti-codon, and T loops). Lineage: Eukaryota; Metazoa; Chordata; Mammalia; Rodentia; Sciuridae. The record is from Rfam by way of RNAcentral. RNAcentral also lists the same sequence under 1 other name.
AGAGUUGUAGCUCAGCGGUAGAGUGCUUACCUUGCAUGUGUGAGGCACUGGGUUUGAAUCUCAGCACUUCAU